Drosophila yakuba is the source of this 623-nucleotide long non-coding RNA. RefSeq lists it as uncharacterized. The transcript is spliced from 2 exons. Lineage: Eukaryota; Metazoa; Arthropoda; Insecta; Diptera; Drosophilidae. The record is from RefSeq and is a predicted model, not a curated record.
AGGUGUGUGGUAAAUUGAUAUUAAAUUUAGAGAGACGUGAAACUGAGACUUUUAAAAGCUCUCUGAAAUUUAGAUUUAAUCUUGGCUUUGUUAUUGGGAAGCUCCCAUUGAAAACUGAUAAGGAAAUUAAUCAUUAUUUUGAAUAAAUAGUAUUAUUGUUAUAGGUUUCACUAACUUGUACGCAACAUGGAGCUAUUACUCACUGUUUUCUUACUAAUUGUAACUCUUUGGAGCUCUUUUGUGGCUGGUGAUUGUGUGACGGAUCCCGUGACAAUGCUGUGCAUUUUGGACCCAAAUCACGGUAAAUAACUUUGUGUGUCACCUUCUCAAUAAAGCACAAAAGUAGAACACGAUGUGGGCUUCUGUAUCCUAAGUAAUUCAACAGUCUCCCCAGACUGAGUUACGUGUGGCAAAUCGCAUUAAACAUUCCACGCCCACCGCCUCCACACUACCAGACAUCUUUUUUGUUACGGUUUCAAUACCCUGUUCUUAGGCAUUUCAAUACUACGAAGCAGUUUGUAACAUAUCGUUUAGAAACAUAACGUUUGAAUGGUUGACUAAAACAGCUUUACUAUCCAUUAAACAUCAUUAAAUGACUUCAGCGAAAACGUUUGCACUACAAA